AGAGUUUGAUCCUGGCUCAGAACGAACGCUGGCGGCGUGUUUAAGACAUGCAAGUCGCACGGGGCAGGUUGAGUAGCAAUACGAGAUCUGUUCAGUGGCGCACGGGUGAGUAACACGUGAAUCACAUGCCCUUCAGUGGGGGAUAGCCCAGGGAAACUUGGAUUAAUACCCCAUGGUCUCGCGAGAGUAAAGGCGGCCGCAAGGCUGUCGCUGGAGGAUUGGUUCGCGCCCUAUCAGCUUGUUGGCGGGGUAACGGCCCACCAAGGCUACGACGGGUACCUGGUCUGAGAGGACGAUCAGGCACACUGGAACUGAGACACGGUCCAGACACCUACGGGUGGCAGCAGUCGAGAAUAAUUCACAAUGGGGGCAACCCUGAUGGUGCAACGCCGCGUGGAGGAUGACGGUCUUCGGAUUGUAAACUCCUGUCAUCUGGGAGUAAGACCUGGCCGUGAAUAGCGGACAGGGUUGAUAGUACCAGAAGAGGAAGGGACGGCUAACUUCGUGCCAGCAGCCGCGGUAAUACGAAGGUCCCGAGCGUUGUUCGGAAUCACUGGGCGUAAAGGGAGCGUAGGCGGCGUGGCAAGUCAGACGUGAAAUCCCGGGG
This 607-nucleotide ribosomal RNA is filed under the name uncultured freshwater bacterium. RNAcentral describes it as "bacterial SSU rRNA". It matches the Rfam family "Bacterial small subunit ribosomal RNA", at positions 8 to 607 of the family's 1533-position model. The record is from RNAcentral.